This 188-nucleotide ribosomal RNA is filed under the name Octaviania decimae. Its description in RNAcentral is "partial 28S ribosomal RNA". It matches the Rfam family "Eukaryotic large subunit ribosomal RNA", at positions 1 to 182 of the family's 3401-position model. The record is from RNAcentral. RNAcentral also lists the same sequence under 1 other name. Lineage: Eukaryota; Fungi; Basidiomycota; Agaricomycetes; Boletales; Boletaceae.
UUGACCUCAAAUCAGGUAGGACUACCCGCUGAACUUAAGCAUAUCAAUAAGCGGAGGAAAAGAAACUAACAAGGAUUCCCCUAGUAACUGCGAGUGAAGCGGGAAAAGCUCAAAUUUUGAAUCUGGCAGUCUUAAUUGAUUGUCCGAAUUGUAAUCUAGAGAAGCGUCUUCCGCGCUGGACCGUGUAC